UGCGAGACAGACACGUCGAGCAGGUACGAAAGUAGGUUCUAGUGAUCCGGUGGUUCUGUAUGGAAGGGCCAUCGCUCAACGGAUAAAAGGUACUCCGGGGAUAACAGGCUGAUACCGCCCAAGAGUUCACAUCGACGGCGGUGUUUGGCACCUCGAUGUCGGCUCAUCACAUCCUGGGGCUGAAGUCGGUCCCAAGGGUAUGGCUGUUCGCCAUUUAAAGUGGUACGCGAGCUGGGUUUAGAACGUCGUGAGACAGUUCGGUCCCUAUCUGCCGUGGGCGUUGGAGAUUUGAGAAGUGCUGCUCCUAGUACGAGAGGACCGGAGUGGACGCACCUCUGGUGUUCCGGUUGUCACGCCAGUGGCAUCGCCGGGUAGCUAUGUGCGGAAGGGAUAACCGCUGAAAGCAUCUAAGCGGGAAGCCUCCUUCAAGAUGAGAUCUCCCCGAGACCUAGAGUCUCCUAAAGGGUCCAGCAAGACUAGCUGGUUGAUAGGCACGGUGUGGAAGCGCUGCAAGGCGUUGAGCUAACGUGUACUAAUACCCCGUGAGGCUUGACCAUAUAACCCCAAGGGGUUUG
This 575-nucleotide ribosomal RNA is filed under the name Salinicola sp. MH3R3-1. RNAcentral describes it as "bacterial LSU rRNA". It matches the Rfam family "Bacterial large subunit ribosomal RNA", at positions 2374 to 2925 of the family's 2925-position model. Lineage: Bacteria; Pseudomonadati; Pseudomonadota; Gammaproteobacteria; Oceanospirillales; Halomonadaceae. The record is from RNAcentral.